RNAcentral lists this ribosomal RNA (168 nucleotides) under Alticus simplicirrus. Its description in RNAcentral is "partial small subunit ribosomal RNA". The record is from RNAcentral. Lineage: Eukaryota; Metazoa; Chordata; Actinopteri; Blenniiformes; Blenniidae.
CACCGCGGUUAUACGAGAGGCCCAAGUUAAUAGAACCUCGGCGUAAAGCGUGGUUAAAUGUAUUAUAACUAAAGCCGAAUAUUCUCAAAGCUGUUAUACGCACCUGAGAACCAGAAGUCCCACUACGAAAGUGGCUUUAUUAAAUUUGAAUCCACGAAAGCUAGGACA